CGUCUCUCUUCAUUCUCUCCGAACAACAUUUCAAAUUUCAAUCAGAUCUUCGCCUCUUCCUCUCUCAUCUCUCUCGCUGCAAACUCUGCCAUUGAUAUACAACCUUGUUUCUUCAGCUUUAUCAGAUAUUUCCUAAAAUUUACAGGCUCCUUGAAAGUAAUUAACUGGUUCCAAUCAAGGCCAAGUCCGGUUCAGAAAUCUUCGAGAACAGCAGAUUUUUCGGGAGCAUCACCUCUUCAGUUCCGUUCAAGAGCCUACUCUCAAAAUCGAAGCAGAAAUCGCUAACUCGACGCUCCAAAUUUCCGUCCGACUCCGAGAACGUAUCUCCGAUGGAUCCCAACAUUCAAAUCUGCGAUCCCCCCCCCCCCCCCUUCCUCCUCUGUUUCCUUCCCCAAAAAAUCUCCUUCGAAAGUCAAAAUCAAUCCUCGAAAGGGAGAACUCGCCGCAUCAGAAGUUGAACAAAAAGUACCCGAAGUCUCAGAUCCACCAGUGAAGAGAUGGGAGUCGUGAUCUAGUUUGCUGUUUUUUUUGGUAUUUUGAUAGAUAGCGGUGAGAAUUAGGCCUGCUGGUGGAGAUGCAAUGUUGAGAAAAGUUUCCAAGGAUUCACUGUGUUGAUGAAAGGAAAUUUACAUUUGAUACGGAGUUUGAGUCAGAUUCGACUCAGGAGGAAGUAUACCAAUCAGUAGGCGCUCCUUUGGUUAAGGAUACAUUAUGCGGUUAUAAUAAAUCAAUAAUCGCUUAUGGACAGACUGGGAGUGGGAAGACCUACACAAUGUGGGGACCUUAAAGUGCAAUGGUGGAUGAUCCAUCCAUUAGUGGUCUCCAGGGUAUCGUCCCUCGCAUUUUCCAGGAUCUUUUUCUCGAAGAUCCAACAGGAACAAGGGAGUGUUGAUGGCAAAAAGAUUAAUUAUCAGUUUCGCUGCUCAUUUCUGGAGGUGUAUGAUGACAAGAUUGGUGAUCUUCUUGAUCCAACACAACGGGACUUGGAGAUAAAGGAUGAUGUAAAAAAUGGAUUUUAUGUAGAGAAUUUGACUGAGGAGUAUGUUGCCUGCUAUGAGGAUAUCACUCAGAUUCUAAUUAAGGGAGGGCCUAUCAAAUAGAAAGAUAGGAGCAACAAAUAUAAACUCCAAGAGCUCAAGAUCCCAUGUUAUGUUCACAUGCAUAAUGGAAUCAUGGUGCUAGGAUUCGUCAUCCAAGUGCUUUGGUAGCUCAAAGACUAGUAGAAUGUGUCUGGUAGACCUUGCUGGAUUCGAGAGAAAUGAUCCUGAGGCAGCCUCAGCAGUCAUGUGUUAGCAUCUCCCUUUAGGGCAGAUGGAAUUGCGCGUAGGCAAUAAUCUUCCUCCGUUGUGUCGUUGGGCCUUUUCUGAAUACUGCACAGCUUACUAAACUCAUUUAGGAACUCGUAUGGACACUCGUUCCUACGCCCGAAGAACGUCGGUAGAAUACCUAGCACAUUUGUCUUAAUAUCGAUGGACCUCUGACGUUGAUUCGUGACUAUAGCCUGGGCUGGCUCACCAUCUAGAUGGGCAGUGAACGAACCAAUCUCAGGAUCUAAAUCAACUACCUGUGUCAUGUCUCUGAUCUCUACCUCCUCUAUAUCUGUUUCUGAAGACGACUCGGGAUCCUCCCUUCCUGACUAACUCCAAUCCUCGUCACUUCCUGAACCAAACAGAAAUGGAUUUCCCGUAGAUAAUCCCGAUCUGGUGGUGACCGUAGAUGCUGUCUCCUUGACUUGCCAAGUAAAUCAAUCGUUUCUCCACCCAGAUGAGUUACUCCAAUGUCCAAACCGUGAGCCUAUGCUCAUAAACUGGAAAUAAAGAAAAAGAAAAAGAAAAAGAAAAAUCAAAACUAUAUACGCCAAAAUCUCUAAACAUAAUCAUAAACUACGCCAUCCAUCCCCGGCAACGGCACCAUUUGAAAGCUCCUAAAUGUGUUUGGUUAUAGAAUAUGUGUGCGCUUUUGUGCUAGGUCAAGUCUCUCAAGCCCAGAGAAUCCGCUAGAUCACAAGGUCUAGGAACUCAGAGGAUCCUGUGAGUCUCGGUCGUCGGACACACAAAUUCCGCGUUCAAAAAACCUUCAACCCGCUAUACUAUGAAUUAGUACAGGGAAGUAGGGGUCGAUCCCACGAAGACGGAUGCGUAAGAAGACAUUUAAAAUAUUCUGGAAAAGGGAAUUGGCUGCUGCCACGCAAUUUUGGGUUGAGAAAAUUAUAACUAGGCUGAGAAAUGAAAACUGACACUAGACCUAGGAAACUGAAAUCAUCAUGUGGGCAUGGAACAUCUCAUCUUAACUACAAUAUCUCAAACAAACUUCCUCGACCUAGUAAACGACUUCCUAAAGUAACUAAACAGAUAUCAAACAUGCAGUGGGGACCAUUUCCAGAAAAUGUAAAGUACGAAUGAAAAGCUGCAACUAACUAAAUCUGAAUUUAACAAACAACGAUAUGCACUCUUAUCACCUAAUUCAAGCUCGAAUCAUGGAGAAAACAGAGUAACAACCCAGAUUCAAACAGAACAACAUAAUUCAGACGUCGCUAAUGUUGCGAUUAAUCGGAAACUGAACAGAUCUACACCUACUAGACUAAGCAAACAGAAACAUAGAAAUGAGCCAUCAGAUUCAUGCUCAAUCACCCAACUCUGCUUCAGAUCCACAUGUCGGACACUCAAUCCACUCCGGAUCCAAGCAAUCCGAAUCAAACUACAACCAAAAACAACUCCAUGAGCUCCGAUUCAACAAAUUUACUCCGAUCAACGACAAUCCAACCUCGAUUCAACUCUGAUUCACCAGAUCAAGUGCGAAAAGCAUCCAUUCAAGUAAACAACCACAAACUCAGAAUCAAACAUAAUCAAAACUCAACACCAGCAUCAUCAUGACAGAAAAUAGAAGUUCCAUAGAUAGAUCAUUAAUAUUUCAGCAAAUACGAAAGCUGAGCUUCGAACAACGAAGACUCGGUAGAAAUCCGAACAGAAAACUAAAAUGAAAGCAGUAAAUUGUUUCUUCGCCCUGCAUAAGGACGGUGGUACACAACAUCAAACCGAAAAUGACCCCCCAAAAACCCCUAGACUUCCGAUUCCCCCAAGUGUGUGUAGAAGAGUGUGUGAGUGAGCUCAGAGCCAAAAGUCCUCCUUUAUUCAUGUUGCAUGCCCUCUCUUUUAUAGAUGUGGAGGCGAUCUUCUAGAAGCCUUCUCUUGAAAUCUCUGUUCUGCCCUCCGGCUAGCGAUCUCCUCCGCCUGGCAAUUUUUCCUUCAUUAUGCUCACUUUCUCGCCAAAUCUUUCGCAAGGCGAUUAUCUACCUUCAUUCCUGGGCAUGACGAUUCCUUCUACACACCUGGCUUAAAAGAUGUGUUAGACCCCGUAAAUUGUUGAAUUUAACCCCCUUACCGAUGCAUGAAAUUAGCCUUAUCAUGUGUGCAGGAGAAGAACUCGACGAUGGAAGAAGUGAACGAGAGGCUGCGGAAACAGUUGGAGAAGGUGAAGAGAAAGCACAAGAUGGAGAUGAUCACCAUGAAACAAUAUGUAGCAGAAAGCAGACUACCAGAGGCUGUUUUGAGGGGCCCCAUAUAUAGACAAGACUCUGAUGAAAUAGCAGCAACUCCUUGCUAUGACACAAUGCCAGAUGAUGAUCAGGCUUGGAGGGCUGAGUUUGGGGCAAUAUAUCAACACCCCUUUUAAAACCCAACAUUUUCACAUCUAUCUACUUCCUCUUUAUUCUUAUUUCAAUAGCAUUCAAUGUUUGAGUGUGGUUCUUGGCCACAUGAUUCAUUUUUAUGAAUUUAUAAACGAUGUUGGUUACAUAUGCUUGAAAAUAUAUUUGUUUUCAAGUAAUUAAUGUUGGUGUCUGUGAUAAUUUCCAAAGUCGGAUAUUCAGGCUACGAAAGAAUUCUUAUGUUAUGUGUUGUAAAUUGUAAUACUACGUGGAUCCUAAUAGACAUUGCGUAGCCCACGAAGAGAUUUUACAUCUCUGGU
Salvia splendens (bonfire salvia) is the source of this 3966-nucleotide RNA transcript. It is a transcript of the gene named kinesin-like protein KIN-12F, with no coding region annotated. The record is from RefSeq and is a predicted model, not a curated record. The transcript has 8 exons. Lineage: Eukaryota; Viridiplantae; Streptophyta; Magnoliopsida; Lamiales; Lamiaceae.